Small nucleolar RNA from Gossypium raimondii (Peruvian cotton), 107 nucleotides. It matches the Rfam family "Plant small nucleolar RNA R71". From Rfam's summary of the family: R71 is a member of the C/D box family of snoRNAs containing the C (UGAUGA) and D (CUGA) box motifs. Multiple nearly identical copies of this snoRNA have been identified in Arabidopsis, and it is thought to function as a 2'-O-ribose methylation guide for 18S ribosomal RNA. The record is from Rfam. NCBI's taxonomy places the organism in Eukaryota, Viridiplantae, Streptophyta, Magnoliopsida, Malvales, Malvaceae.
AAACCAUGCAUUAGGCAUUUUCUAAUUAACUCAUUGAAUUACUCCCAUGCUUCAUGUAAUGUUUCAUCCUCAGAUUGCCUAAAGGACAUAAAAUCAUUCCUCAAUUU